Long non-coding RNA from Bactrocera neohumeralis, 352 nucleotides. RefSeq lists it as uncharacterized. The record is from RefSeq and is a predicted model, not a curated record. Lineage: Eukaryota; Metazoa; Arthropoda; Insecta; Diptera; Tephritidae. The transcript is spliced from 2 exons.
AUUUACACAUACUAUACUGACGGCAUCUUCAUUUCGAUAUACAUUUGUAAGGGAACUGUGGGACGGCAUUCCAAACUCCUUACGUACAGCUGCAACCGAAACCAUUGGCAGAGAUAAAGAGAUGUUUAACUCCUCUCUUGAGAGAGCAAUUGCUAUACGUCAAAACCUACUGAACUUUGACAGCUAAUCGAGUUCAGUAGGUUUUGACGUUUUUCAAUUGGAAACGAGCGAUGGCCAGAUUGAAAUCUUACCAAAAAAAUGUGUUAACGGAGGGAUUUGUUGCAACGUUCAAGACCACUUAUAAAAAAUGUAAAACAAUGAAAAUUAAAUAAAUUUGUGAAAUUUAAAGGUA